GCAGCAGGGAGGGCGGAGGGCUGAGCCGGGGGCCAGGCAGACCCGGGGCCUCAGGCCACCUGGUCCGUAGUCCCCCUCCCAUCUCAGGGAUCAGCCGUGCGGUGCCCAGUCCCGUCCUUGGGCUCCGUGACUGCCCUGGCUGGGGGUUGUGGAUUUGGGGCUGGGGUUGGGACAGCCCUGCUGUGAGCUCAGCCCCUCAGACAGGACAGCCCACAGGGGGCUGAGUGCCUCCAGCUCUGUCCCUCCAGGAGAGUACCCCCAGCCUGUCUGAGUGCCCCCUGUCCUGCCAGUGGCGGCACUGCGGCACUCUCUGACUCGGGGUCGCCCUCACCAUGCUUGGUCUGCAGAGGCUGGGAGCGUGGGGUGCGGAGCAGACACCUCGGUUGCAGCCAUCUUGUCAGCUUGGGACAUCAGCAGCUGUUUGAUGCUAAGGAGGGAAGGGCCGGGAGGCUGCUGAAUGCCCACCCUGGCUCCCCUGUGGGUCUGCAUCCCACCUCCACCGCAGUCCCGGACGCCCAGUGCUCACCAGAGCCCAUUGACACUGAGUGUCGACACUCCUAAGGCCUAGCCUCGGGAGCAGCUGACGGGGUCAGAGGCUGCUGGAAUAUUCUAUCCCUGCACCUGGUCCCAGGGGAGGCACCCCACAAACCACACCAUGAUCCCAGGUCCCUGAGAGAGCGUGGCUGGCCUCCCACUUGGUUACCCAAGGACUGGGCUGUGAGGGUCUCUGAAUGGCCCCUGAAGACUGAGAGGUGGGCUGGCCCUGGCCCUGUCUGGGCUGCAUGCUCCACACAUGCUGGGGCGGGGCCCACGAGGAAGCCAACACUCACUACUCCUUGUGGAAGCUUCCUUUGCUGUCCGGGUCCGGCAACUUGGAGGCCUCUAGGGUGGUCUCCGAGCCUCUGCCUCUGCCUGCUGCACAGAGGCCUCAGGGUGCCCCCCACUGCCAGAGGCCUCCCUGUCCUUACCAGGUGUGGCCCCCAAGUCAGCCAGGGCCUGCAGCCGGGGGCCAGAGGUCUGAGAGUGUGGGACAGAGGCCACCGGCUGGGAGGUGAGUUUGGAGCUCAGGACUUGUCGGGAUUGCCCCCAGGCUCUUUUGGUGAAAUGUCUUGAUUUCUAGGUGUUAGGUGCUAACCCAACAAACAGGGGUCUCGCUGGUCAGCUUCUCCCCAAGCAGGUUCGGGAACACGGUGGAGUUACAGGCCCUGAGGCCUCCUUGAGCAUGGUGUCCAGCUUGUCAUCCUUCAUGUUGGUCUUGCCUGUUGCAGAGGGGUGGGGAGUGGUGUCAGGCGGGGCCUACUGGAGAGGCAGGAGGGACUGCUGGGCUCGGCAGGACUCAGGCCCCUGCCCUCCCGGCUCCAUAGCCUGUCCCAGGCUACAUGCUUGGGCUGGUCCGCUGGCCCUGCCCACCUGGAUGCCCCACCAGCUCUAGGCAGCCUGGGGCAGGUCUCCCUCCUGGAGGGGGGCGAAACACUGCUCAGGGCUUUGGAGUGGGGAAGGUCAGCCAUUCGGGCCAGUGCCCUUGCCCUGUGGGACAUUGGUGUGGACGUUCACUUUGCCUUGUGCUCACACCCACCAAGGGAGGUGUACGUGUCCUUCGGGUCCUCCUUGUCCAUGAAGCUGUCCUGGUUCCGAAGCAGGAGUGUGAAUGCCCAGAAACAGAGGCAGUCCGUAGCACUGUGGCCGGCUGCCUCUGCCUCCACCUCCCGGGCACAGGUGGCCACGGGUCCACGUUGGGUUGGGGCUCCUGGUGGGAAGGGGACUCGCCUUGAGUUCCUGGAUGUUGGGAUGUGCAAAGUUGGAGAAGAUGUUGGAGGAGGCCUGCUGGGCGUGCAGGGCAUCACCUUUCUUCCUGGUCUCCCUGCUGGCCUGAGGCAGGAGCACUGACGCUGAGGGUCCCAGACUGCUGGAGGACCCUUGAGGCACCCUGUGAUUUGAGAGCCUUAGCUCACAUGGUGAGGGGACUCCACCUAGUGCUGGACGGGCCCAGCAAGUGUGCUGCCACUAAGCUCAGGUGCAAGGGGGGAGGAGCUCGAUCCCCAAGGCCCUGGCAGAGCACAGGGCUUAGGACCAUUUCACUCUGUGGCCCUGAAGGGCUCCAGGGCACAGGGAUGCCAUGGUGGGCUUGUUCUGAGCAUCAGGGUUCUUGAAGGCCCAGACCUUCCCUCAUCUUGCCCCAGAAUGUCACCAGGGCAUGCCUGGGCCUGUACUGGCCUCACCCGUGCACUCGGGUGCACGUUCACACACACACAUGCAGGGACACACGCUCAUAUCCUGCCCUGCUGCCCACUGGGCCACUUGCUCACCAUGCCUGAGUCUUCCUUGGCUAGGUCCCGUCCUACCUGACUCAAGCUCCUGCCUGACCCCCCAGGACCGCUGAGGCUUCAGCUGCCACUCCCUACAAGGACAGGUUCAGGGCCACCCAGGGGGCUGGACAGCGGCAGAGUGUGCCUGGAAGGCCCAGCAGUGACUCAGACAGCCCCUUCUUAGGCCUGAAUGCUAUUCUCCAGGGCCCCUUGUCACGCCCUUGCCAGGGCCUGGGAUCUGAGAGUUGAUAGGGCACCCGGGACCCCCUAGACGGCAGAAACUGCAGGCCCCAGAGGAAGGUGCCUUCUCCAGAUGGCACAGAGGUAUAGAGUGACCCAAGUGUUUCUCCAGCGCUUGGUGUGUGCCAGGGGUCCCACACAGAUCCCUCAGCGGCGCUCCUGGCCCUGGGCCCACCCUUCUGACCCCGUGGCAGCAAUGGCUCCUCGGCUGAUCGAGGAGGAUGACAUUUCUGGGGUGGACCAGGCUUGGAGAUGGCCAGGCUACCCCGAGGGCUUGGGGUCAGGCACGCUUGGCCUGCCCCUCAGUCUUCCUCAUUCUCCCCGACCUGGCCGUGCUGUGGGUCAGGGGCCUUGGUCCAGGCGGUGGGAGGGAGGGUGGGCCACCUCAGCCCUGCAGCUCUAGGCCUGAAGAACAGCCCUUGGAGGCCUGGCCUGUGCUUGGCAGAGGCAGCAGGGCCCCAGCAGGUGGGCGUGGGUGCGGGUGCAUGUGGGUGCCUUGCUGGGUGCCCCCCCCCACUCUGAACUCCCAUGUAGCCCCGAGUGUUCACUGUAGCAGAGGUCCUGCCCCCCGCCCCCCCUGGGAAACAGCUGUCAUGGAAGCUGCUGCCCAAGAGCCCCUGAGCCAGCAGGGCCCGGGAACGUCAUGCACCUGAGAGACCUGGGGUUGCCUCUCCGACUAGGGAGCAUGUGGCCAGGUGUGGUGCCUGGGCUGGGAGGGAAGGAUCCCAGACAGGAUUGAGGUGUGGGGCUGCAGGGGUGGGGAGCCCCCAAAGUGAGAAGGCCAGAGAGCCCCAGAGAGGACCCUGACUCAGCACUGAAGAUAAUGGAGAGCUGGGCGUACUCAGAUUAUGCACACAGCUGAGCCUGACAGGUGCGAGGUCCCCAUGGGACCCUCCUCCGGGCCUGAGAGCUUGACUCGAGGCAGGUUUCUUCCCUGACAUCAGGGGUCUGCUCUGCCAGCCUCCACCCCCAGCCUGCUGUCAUAUCCCUGGGCACCUAGAGAUACUUAUUUUCAGUUCUGGAAGUUGAGUUGCUGAGGAGUAUGGUUUAUUUUAAAUCCAGUGAAGGGAAAACUCACGGUCACCUGAGGUCAUCUUAUAGGCAGCUAAGUUAGCUAGAAAUUAAUAUACAGUCAGAGAGGUUCUGGGCUCUCAAAGAAGUCAGCACAAAAAAUAAAGACAUCAAGCUGGGUGUGGUGGCACAUGCCUGUGAUCCCAGCACUUGGGAGGCUGAGGGAGGAGGAUCACUGUAAGUUUCAGGACAGCCUGGACUACAUAGCAAGACCCCAUUGCUGUUGUCAGGGUUUGCAAGGGAAUAGAUUUAAUACAGGACACCUAAUUUAUGGGAUUAUUUUAUAACAUUCACCUAAAAAGUCAAAUGCAGAGGAGUGCAAAGGUCUGCCCAUGCUCUAGAGACCCAAAGACUCCAGUUGACGGCCUGGAUUCUCUGGCAAUGUCCCACAGAAGUCCAGCUGAAGACCUACAGCCCAAGUCCAUGCCCUCCGUGAGUCCAGGCAGAGGCCUAGAGCCCACGGCAAUGUCUCACGCAAAUCUGUAUCAAAGAUCUGCACCGGGAAACCCUGAGGCCAGUGGUGGAGCUAGAAAGCCCGUGCUGGUGGGGUCAAGGGCCUGUGCCACCAGGCUGAGGAUCUGCACUGGAGCCAAGAACCUCAAGGCGAAGACCAGAGCCCCCCUGAGGGGAACAGCUGCCAUCCCCAGCGAUAGCGAGGACCUGACCUCCUCCCGUGAUGAGAAUAGCUGAGCUCCUGUCGGGAAAACAGCCAUGAUGAACUUCUCCAGGAAAAUCAACAGCGUAGUUUUCCCCUCUAGUUCUCCAUUUACGAAACAGUUUUCAGGUGGGUCUUCCAUGCCCCGAACCUCUCUGACUCAGUUCCGCUGGGCGUUCCAAAUUGACCUUUAGCUAAUCCACCACACCCGUUUAAAAAACCAAGCAAUCAAAUAAAUAAAAUAAAGAUCAGAAUUGUGGUUGGAAACACAGCUGAAGAAGGUUGGGCAUCAAGAUAAAGAUGCAAUGGGCAGGCACACACACCUCCUUGAGGGAUAAACAGUAACAUGAAAUUAUGCUGUGAUUAGUACCACCUGGCCCAGGAAGUCCAGCCAGGCAUCAGUUGCCCACGUGGGUGACCAGAGCAUCCAGACCCAUCUCUUCCCCAAAAUACCUUUAUUCUUUCCAUGUACCCUUGAUACAUGACUCAUUUCCCUACUGGAUCAGUAUUAGCUAAGCGGGUAUACUUGUAACCCUUUAGGUUGAUUGUAGUUUGACCUGUGUUGUAUCCAUGGUAUGUUUGGCUGUCACUUGGGAUCCCUCUUGGAAUAAAACUCUGUUUUUGUUUCUUUUCACUUAUAAGCAAAAAAUGUUUAUUUUGGCUCAAGUUUGCACAUCCCAACCCAAGAUGGAGUGGCCCCACUGCUCUGGACCCCUGAUGAGGUAGCACAUUAUGGUGGUAGCAUGUGGUGGGGUCUGGAUCUGCCUUGGGGCUGGAUCCUGGCCUGCCUCCCCAGGGUGGGCAUGAGCAGGGAGCCAGGGGUGAUGCCAGUAUUCUGGUCCCCAGUCAGGCCUCCUGCUCCCAGGCUGAGGACCCAAGGCCUUGGCUGCGUAUGGAGUGGGGUGGGUGUCUUUAUGUUCACAAUGCUGCAUCAUAUUCUUUGGAAGCUGAGAUCUGCUGAAGAGUAGGGAAAAGCGGCUGAGGGGGCUGUCAUCUAACUGGUAAGAGAGAUUUCUGAAGCUGAAAUAAGGAACUUAACUCACCCCUCUUUCAGCAGGUUCGCUGACUCCCACUGUGGAAAAAGAAUUUUCAGGACACGUCAGUAAGAGGCAGAAGGGUUUAUUAGAGAUUUAGAACACACUUAAGAGUGAAAUGUGGGCCCUCAGAGAAAUGAGGUGCAUUAUUUCCUGGAACGGGAAACAUUAUGCUUCUUGAAGGGGUGGAAACCCCAGGAAAAGGUGGCUGAAGGGGUAGCACAGAAGGGUACUAGUUCAUUGUACAGUACUGGUAUGGAUUCGUGUGUUUUGUGAUUAAAACAUUCUUUGGACUCUCUCCACUUGCUCCUUUUAGAAUCAGAUUCCUGAUUCCUGGGGAUUUAGCUCAGUAGUUCCACUGCCUGCCUGGGAAGGUCCCGAGUUCAAUCCCGAUACAGGGGUGGGGUGGGGUGGGAAUCAGAUUCCUGAUCAUUAUUUUCUUAGUUAAACCAGUUUAUGGACUUUCAGCAUUCCAGAGGAAUUUUGGGUGUGAUAGGUCUGGUAGGGAAGGAGCCUAAAUUUAACCAAAGGAAUGCCACAUGGAUAGCCUUGGGUGGUCCUGUAAAUUGGAGUUUUCUUAAAAAUACAACUUUGAAAAAAAAAAAAAAGAUGUGUUAUCUGCCUAGAAUUUUCCCAUACAUUUCUGUUGACAUGUUAGCCUUUCUUGUCCUUCAAAAUCUACCUCAAAGAAUGAACCCCAUAUUUCCUAUUUCUGCUGUAAACAUUGUAUAUAUACUCCUCACUAGGUUCAGAACUCCUGGAGAGCUGGCGCUUCAUUUCAUUCUUUAUUGUUAACUCUGUACAGGUUGAG
This is a long non-coding RNA of Heterocephalus glaber (naked mole-rat), 6117 nucleotides long. The record is from Ensembl. NCBI's taxonomy places the organism in Eukaryota, Metazoa, Chordata, Mammalia, Rodentia, Bathyergidae.